Molecule: ribosomal RNA, 699 nt
Filed under: Oropodes chumash
Lineage: Eukaryota; Metazoa; Arthropoda; Insecta; Coleoptera; Staphylinidae
Description: eukaryotic LSU rRNA
Rfam family: Eukaryotic large subunit ribosomal RNA
Source: RNAcentral
GGACUAAGGAGUCUAGCAAAUAAGCGAGUGAGUGGGUGUCAAACCCACAUGCGUUGUGAAGGCAUGUGUCGGUCGGAGAGAUCUGAUCGGCGCGCCAGUUUAAGAGUUGACAGGAAGCAUCGAGCAUCUCGUCAUAUCCGAACCUCGAUUGUCUUUCUCGCAAACUCAGAAUAGUCUCUGUCUCAUUGCGAGAAGAGCUAUAUCUCUAGCUUAUGUGCUGGUACCCGAAAGAUGGUGAACUAUGCUUGACCAGGGCUAAGUUAGGGGAAACCCUGAUGUAAGCUCGUUACCGAUUCUGACGUGCAAAUCGAUCGUCAAAGUCAAGUAUAGGGGCGAAAGACCAAUCGAACCAUCUAGUAGCUGGUUCCCUCUGAAGUUUCCCUCAGGAUAGCAGAGACUCAUGUGUUAGUCACAUGUGGUAAAGCGAAUGAUUAGAGGUAUUGGGGACGAAACGGCCUCAACCUAUUCUCAAACUUUUAAUGGGUGUGAUCUGUACGCUUGCAGACUUACGUAUUGCUAAGAGCGAUAUGAGCGAAGUAUCAGAUAGAUAAAAAGUCUUAAGUGGGCCAUUUUUGGUAAGCAGAACUGGCGAUGUGGGAUGAACCAAAAAUUAAGUUAGAGUGCCUAAACAACGCUCAUGGGAAACCAAAAAAGGCGUUAGUAACUAAAGACAGCAGGACGGUGGCCAUGGAAGUAGGA